RNAcentral lists this ribosomal RNA (507 nucleotides) under uncultured bacterium. Its description in RNAcentral is "bacterial SSU rRNA". It matches the Rfam family "Bacterial small subunit ribosomal RNA", at positions 28 to 531 of the family's 1533-position model. The record is from RNAcentral.
GAUGAACGCUAGCGGCAGGCCUAAUACAUGCAAGUCGAACGGAAUAUAGUUUUCGGAUUAUAUUUAGUGGCGCACGGGUGAGUAACACGUACAUAACUUACCCUCAAGAGGGGGAUAGCCUUGGGAAACUGAGCGUAAUACCCCAUAGUAUUAUUGAACGGCAUCGUUUGAUAAUUAAAGCUACGGCGCUUGAGGAUAGAUGUGCGUCUGAUUAGCUAGUUGGUAAGGUAACGGCUUACCAAGGCGACGAUCAGUAGGGGGCGUGAGAGCGUGGCCCCCCACACGGGUACUGAGACACGGACCCGACUCCUACGGGAGGCAGCAGUAAGGAAUAUUGGUCAAUGCCCGGAAGGGUGAACCAGCCAUGCCGCGUGAAGGAUGACUGCCCUCUGGGUUGUAAACUUCUUUUGGAUGGGACGAAAAAACGGGAUUUAUCCUGGACUGACGGUACCAUCAGAAUAAGCACCGGCUAACUCCGUGCCCAGCAGCCGCGGUAAUGUCUGUACU